Molecule: small RNA, 107 nt
Filed under: Flavobacterium pokkalii
Lineage: Bacteria; Pseudomonadati; Bacteroidota; Flavobacteriia; Flavobacteriales; Flavobacteriaceae
Description: 6S RNA
Rfam family: 6S-Flavo RNA
Source: RNAcentral
ACUCAACACUAACAAAUUAGAAUGAGCAAAUCGUCACUACUAUAGCAAGCCAAUUCAGUUUGGAAGCUUGAACAGUGAGUUAGCUCAAAACUUGUCUUUACGAGUUU